GGUGAACGGUCGCGUAACACGUAAGCAACCUGCCGAAAAGACCGGGACAACAUCUCGAAAGGGGUGCUAAUGCCGGAUGUGGCCAUCGAUGGGCAUCCAUUGAUGAUUAAACCGAGCAAUCGGCUUUUCGAGGGGCUUGCGGCCUAUACAGCUAGUUGGUGGGGUAACGGCCUACCAAGGCGACGACGGGUAGCUGGUCUGAGAGGACGGCCAGCCGGACUGGGAGGGAGAUACGGCCCAGACUCCUACGGGGGGCAGCAAUUAGGAAUCUUGCACAAUGGGCGAAAGCCUGAUGCAGCGACGCCGCGUGGAGGAGGAAGGCCUUCGGGUUGUAAACUCCUUUUGUCGGGGAAGAAACAAAUGACGGUACCCGACGAAUAAGCUCCGGCUAACUCCGUGCCAGCCGCCGCGG
RNAcentral lists this ribosomal RNA (412 nucleotides) under uncultured bacterium. Its description in RNAcentral is "bacterial SSU rRNA". It matches the Rfam family "Bacterial small subunit ribosomal RNA", at positions 97 to 520 of the family's 1533-position model. The record is from RNAcentral.